RNAcentral lists this ribosomal RNA (648 nucleotides) under Escherichia coli. RNAcentral's name for it is "partial 23S ribosomal RNA". It matches the Rfam family "Bacterial large subunit ribosomal RNA", at positions 812 to 1456 of the family's 2925-position model. The record is from RNAcentral. Lineage: Bacteria; Pseudomonadati; Pseudomonadota; Gammaproteobacteria; Enterobacterales; Enterobacteriaceae.
UGGCUGGGGGUGAAAGGCCAAUCAAACCGGGAGAUAGCUGGUUCUCCCCGAAAGCUAUUUAGGUAGCGCCUCGUGAAUUCAUCUCCGGGGGUAGAGCACUGUUUCGGCAAGGGGGUCAUCCCGACUUACCAACCCGAUGCAAACUGCGAAUACCGGAGAAUGUUAUCACGGGAGACACACGGCGGGUGCUAACGUCCGUCGUGAAGAGGGAAACAACCCAGACCGCCAGCUAAGGUCCCAAAGUCAUGGUUAAGUGGGAAACGAUGUGGGAAGGCCCAGACAGCCAGGAUGUUGGCUUAGAAGCAGCCAUCAUUUAAAGAAAGCGUAAUAGCUCACUGGUCGAGUCGGCCUGCGCGGAAGAUGUAACGGGGCUAAACCAUGCACCGAAGCUGCGGCAGCGACGCUGAUGCGUUGUUGGGUAGGGGAGCGUUCUGUAAGCCUGUGAAGGUGUGCUGUGAGGCAUGCUGGAGGUAUCAGAAGUGCGAAUGCUGACAUAAGUAACGAUAAAGCGGGUGAAAAGCCCGCUCGCCGGAAGACCAAGGGUUCCUGUCCAACGUUAAUCGGGGCAGGGUGAGUCGACCCCUAAGGCGAGGCCGAAAGGCGUAGUCGAUGGGAAACAGGUUAAUAUUCCUGUACUUGGUGUUACUG